This 1343-nucleotide ribosomal RNA is filed under the name metagenome. RNAcentral describes it as "bacterial LSU rRNA". It matches the Rfam family "Bacterial large subunit ribosomal RNA", at positions 1554 to 2912 of the family's 2925-position model. The record is from RNAcentral.
UGGAUAAGCGCCAAUGAUGUUAUGCUUCCAAGAAAAGCUCGUACACCUCUACAAGCAAUUGUAGAAAAACAUAAAAAUGACCUGUACCUGAAACCGACACAGGUAGGUUGGUAGAGAAUACUAAGGGGCGCGAGAGAACUCUCUCUAAGGAACUCGGCAAACUAGCCCCUUAACUUCGGAAGAAGGGGCGCCCUCUUUUACGGGAGGGUCGCAGUGACGAGGUUCUGGCAACUGUUUAUCAAAAACACAGGUCUCCGCAAAGUCGUAAGACAAUAUAUGGGGGCUGACGCCUGCCCAGUGCCGGAAGGUCAAGGAAGUUGGUGAGAAGUCUUCGGGCUUCGAAGCUGACGACCGAAGCCCCGGUGAACGGCGGCUGUAACAAUGACAGUCCUAAGGUAGCGAAAUUCAUUGUCGAGUAAGUUUCGACCUGCACGAAAGGCGUAAUGAUCAGAACGCUGUCUCGGAGAGAGACUCGGUGAAAUAGACUUGUCCGUGAAGAUGCGGACUACUAAUACUUGGACAGAAAGACCCUAUGAAGCUUGACCGUAUCCUGGAAUUGGGUUCGGGCUUUUCUUGCGCAGCCUAGGUGGGAGGCUAUGAAGAUUUCCUUCCGGGGAAGUUGGAGCCAUCAGUGAGAGACCAUUCUGGAGAGGCUAGAAUCCUAAUGGUGAUCCUUGAAUCAGGGCACUUGACAGUUUCAGGUGGGCAGUUUUUCUGGGGCGGAAGCCUCAUAAAGGGUAACUGAGGCGCGCAAAGGUCCCCUCAGUCUGGACGGAAAUCAGACAACGAGUGUAAAGGCAAAAGGGGGCUUGACUGCAAGACCUACAAGUCGAGCAGGAGCGAAAGCUGGCCUUAGUGAUCCGACGGUACCGUGUGGAAGGGCCGUCGCUCAACGAAUAAAAGUUACUCUAAGGAUAACAGGCUGAUCUUCUCCAAGAGUUCACAUCGACGAGAAGGUUUGGCACCUCGAUGUCGGCUCAUCACAUCCUGGGGCUGUAGUAGGUCCCAAGGGUUGGGCUGUUCGCCCAUUAAAGUGGUACGUGAGCUGGGUUCAGAACGUCGUAAGACAGUUCGGUCCAUAUCCGGUAUUAGCGUUAGAAUAUUGAGGUCAAUCACUCAUAGUACGAGAGGACCUGUAGUGAACAUGCCAAUGGUGUGCCUGUUAUCUUUCCAAAGGUAAACGCAGGGUAGCCACGCAUGGAGUGAAUAAGUACUGAAUGCAUCUAAGUACGAAGUCCAGACCAAGAUGAGUAUUCUCCAUCAAGCCGCAGCAAGACAAGCUGUUCUAUAGGUAUCAAGUGUAAGGCCAGUAAUGGUUUCGGCUGAGAUAUACUAAAGGCUAA